This 388-nucleotide ribosomal RNA is filed under the name uncultured bacterium. Its description in RNAcentral is "bacterial SSU rRNA". It matches the Rfam family "Bacterial small subunit ribosomal RNA", at positions 30 to 420 of the family's 1533-position model. The record is from RNAcentral.
AUUGAACGCUGGCGGCAUGCCUUACACAUGCAAGUCGAACGGCAGCGGACCUUCGGGUGCCGGCGAGUGGCGAACGGGUGAGUAAUAUAUCGGAACGUACCUUUCAGUGGGGGAUAACGUAGCGAAAGUUACGCUAAUACCGCAUAUUCUGUGAGCAGGAAAGCAGGGGAUCGCAAGACCUUGCGCUGAUUGAGCGGCCGAUAUCAGAUUAGCUAGUUGGUGAGGUAAAGGCUCACCAAGGCGACGAUCUGUAGCGGGUCUGAGAGGAUGAUCCGCCACACUGGAACUGAGACACGGUCCAGACUCCUACGGGAGGCAGCAGUGGGGAAUUUUGGGCAAUGGGCGCAAGCCUGAUCCAGCCAUGCCGCGCGAGUGAAGAAGGCCUCGG